This 488-nucleotide long non-coding RNA is filed under the name Homo sapiens (human). Its description in RNAcentral is "HSALNT0267085". Lineage: Eukaryota; Metazoa; Chordata; Mammalia; Primates; Hominidae. The record is from RNAcentral.
AGGUGGAGGUAAUUGAAUCACUGGGGCAGUUUCCCGCAUACUGUUCUCGCGAUAGUGAGUGAGUCUCACGAGAUCUGUUGGUUUUAUAAAUGUCCGACAUUUCCCCUGUUGCACUCGCUUCAGUUUGCUGCCUUGUGAGGAAGGUGUCUGCUUCUUCUUUGCCUUCUGUCAUUAUUAUCCAUCCAUUUGGAGGAGUCAGCUGCUUCCUGAACUUCAGGCCUUGAGGCAGGAGACAGCGUGUACCAUCUCCUGCCAUUCUGUUGAUAAACCUGGGAUGACUACGCCACACCCUGACAUUACAGCAUCUUGUUUUAUCUCCCUGAGAGUGCUACCAGCAAUGCCACCUCCAAGUGUAGCUGUUUCAGGUGUGGACCCUAACACUGGAUUCGUGUACCCAGCUCUGAUGCUGUCAUCCCUCUUGUGGAGUGAGUAAAAGGACUUUCCUUUGUUAUGGGAUGCUGGAUGCUGUAUGCUGUGGUUAGUUGCAC